Molecule: ribosomal RNA, 512 nt
Filed under: Cynoglossus abbreviatus (three-lined tongue sole)
Lineage: Eukaryota; Metazoa; Chordata; Actinopteri; Pleuronectiformes; Cynoglossidae
Description: partial 16S ribosomal RNA
Rfam family: Bacterial large subunit ribosomal RNA
Source: RNAcentral
GAGGUCGUACCUGCCCAAUGAUACACAUUUAAUGGCCGCGGUAUUCUGACCGUGCAAAGGUAGCGUAAUCACUUGUCCUUUAAAUGAGGACCCGUAUGAAUGGUUUGACGAGGGCUUAACUGUCUCCUCUCCUAAAUCAAUGAAAUUGAUCUCUUCGUGCAAAAGCGAAGAUAAAAACAUAAGACGAGAAGACCCUGUGGAGCUUAAGAUAAAAAUAUAGACUUAGACCAGAGACUUUAAAAAUAAAUAAAGCCAAAAACUUUUAUAUAAUAUCUUCAGUUGGGGCGACUACGGAGAAUAAAAAACCUCCGCGAAGACAAGAACAUAAAUUCCCAAAACUUAGAAACACCCUUCAACCCAAUAGAAUUUCUAACUUUUAUUGAUCCAACCUGUUGAUCAACGGAAAAAGUUACCCCAGGGAUAACAGCGCAAUCCCCUUUCAGAGUCCCUAUCGACAAGGGGGUUUACGACCUCGAUGUUGGACCAGGACAUCCUAAUGGUGCAGCCGCUAU